GUGCCAGCCGCCGCGGUAAUACGGAGGGUGCGAGCGUUGUCCGGAAUCACUGGGCGUAAAGGGCGCGUAGGCGGCGCGAGGAGUCGGGGGUGAAAGUCCGGGGCUCAACCCCGGAUCGGCCUUCGAUACUCUCGCGCUGGAGCACAGUAGAGGCGGGUGGAAUUCCGGGUGUAGCGGUGGAAUGCGUAGAGAUCCGGAAGAACACCGGUGGCGAAGGCGGCCCGCUGGGCUGUGGCUGACGCUGAGGCGCGACAGCGUGGGGAGCAAACAGGAUUAGAUACCCCAGUAGUCC
RNAcentral lists this ribosomal RNA (292 nucleotides) under uncultured bacterium. RNAcentral describes it as "partial 16S ribosomal RNA". It matches the Rfam family "Bacterial small subunit ribosomal RNA", at positions 505 to 796 of the family's 1533-position model. The record is from RNAcentral.